AAAUUCUCGCCUGACAGGUUCAUCUCAAUGCUUCUCUUAGCACUGAAAUGUUAUGUUCGUUUCUAGGAUUUGAAAAAGAUUUGGGAAGCAUGCAGGAUACCGUGGGGUGUAAUGCAGCAUUCCUGCUCUUCUGGGGAAUCUUGAAUUCUUACUUUCCUCUAGAUUGCUGCCAAACUGCCCCUACUUUUACUGCCAGUUAUUCUCCAGACCUUUAUGUCUCUGUUUCUACAACAACUCCAGACUCAAGUUCAUCUAUCUUCACCACAACAUCAGAAUCAAAUCCCCUCACAAACACAAGUACAACCGAGUCUUACUCCACCAUUCAAGCCACUACACAACUGAAGAACACUUCUCUCAGUGACACUUCUGACUCAACAUUAAACCAACAAAGCAUUGCCACUCAAACAACGGAGCCCUUAACUAGUGCCACUGCACAUGGGAUCAGUUCAACAGGAAGCACUAAAACAACUAGCUCGGACACAUCAACAACAUCUGAGACACCUACACUGACUCCAAAUCAUGCAAACAAUGAUUCCAUUACCACCACUGAUUCCAAAACACAAUAUAAAGUAGAGCAAACCUCAGACAGCAAUACAUCCAUUUUUUGGUCUACUGGAACAUUAACUGGUACCCAAAGACCUGAGCCAACAAAUGGAACUUCAACCAAGAGUAGUGUCACAAAGACAUCAUAUUCUGAAUUGACAACAACAAUAAUUGUGCCUACAACAACUCCAGACUCUUCAUUAGCGUCCCCUGAUGUGUCUUCUAAAACAUCAUACUCCACUUUGACAACAACACAACAGCUUGAGUCAUCAGACCAUGCUCAAGUCUCCAUCACAUCAAAUGAAUCGACAACUACAAUGAUUUCCUCUACAACAACUCCAGACUCAAGUUCAUCUAUCUUCACCAAAACAUCAGAACCAAAUACCAUCACAAACACAAGUACAACUGAGUCUUACUCAACCAUUCAACCAACUACACAACUGAAGAACACUUCUCUCAGUGACACUUCUGACUCAAUAUCAGAACAACAAAGCACUGCCACUCAAACAACGGAGCCCUUAACCAAUGCCACUGCACAUGGGAUCAGUUCAACAGGAAGCACUAAAACAACUAGCUCGGACACAUCAACAACAUCUGAGAUACCUACACUGACUCCAAUUCAUGCAAACAAUGAUUCCAUUACCACCACUGAUUCCAAAAUACAAUAUAAUUUAGAGAAAACCUCAGUCAGCAAUACAUCCAUUUCUUGGUCUACUGGAACAUUAACUGAUACCCAAAGGCCUGAGCCAACAAACGAAACUUCAACCAACAGUAGUGUCAAAAAGACAGCAUUUUCUGAAUCGACAACAACAAUGCUUGUGUCUAAAACAACUGCAGGCUCUUCAUUUCCGUCUUCUAAAACAUCAUACUCCACUGUUACAACAACACAACAGCUUGAGUCAUCAGACCAUACUCAAGUCACCAUAACAUCAAAUGAAUCGACAACUACAAUGAUUUCCUCUACAACAACUCCAGACUCAAGUUCAUCUAUCUUCACCAAAACAUCAGAACCAAAUACCCUCACAAACACAAGUACAGCCGAGUCUCACUCAACCAUUCAACCAACUACACAACUGAAGAACACUUCUCUAAGUGACACUUCUUACUCGCCAGCAAUCUACCAAUCUAUUAAUGAAUUAAAUACUACAUCUUUCAACCAUCUGAAAACACAAAUGUCUCAAACAUUUGCUGCUGCCACUGCACUUAUUCAGCCUCCAUCGUCACCAAUCACGCCAGACAAUGAAUAUACUGCAGAGCCUUCAUUUACAACAUCAACACUGACAGACUUCAAAAGCACACUGAUAAAUGUACAGAAAGCAGCAUCUAUGUCAUCUCCAUCAGAAAAUCUGCUAAAUGACAGUCAAGAAACUCCAACACCUGUGACAGAAUCGCAAUCAUCUCAGUCCACAACAAAUUAUAUAACACUUAAUUCUAGUUUGACUAUUUCCUCAGACUCAACAACACUGGUUCAGACCUCAAGCCCUGACAUACCAGUGAAAGUUACAGCUACACCUGAACACAUCCACCCAGAGCGCUCACAAACAACUGUAACUGAUUUCAGAGCAUCAACUCUACAGAGAACAUCUACAACAACACCAACGCUGGUUCCCAGCCAUCUGCAAACUCAGGAAACAGUUUCAAGACAAGCAGUGACACCUGAUUCAAAGUCCACAUCCAUGAACAUGCCCUCAAUGUUUCCAACCACUCAGGAAAACCAAAAAACGAACACUCACACAUCCUUAAGUCCAAUUUCUCCCACAUCUCCGCUCAGGUCCCUAAGCAAUGACUCAAAACCCGUCACCACUUCAUUAGCUCAUGAAUACAGAGGCUCAGCUUUGGUGAUAUUAACUCAAAGUGGGCUAAACAGGUCUGAUUCAGAAGGUACUACAAUCAAAGACACCUGGUCAAACAACAUAUCUUCAAUACCAGCAGGUCUAACAAACCCACCAUUGUCAAGCAACACCAGCAGAGAUGGAAAUACAGAUAACUCUGCAAACUCAGUGAAAAGCACCACUUUUUUUGUCUUCAACACUCCCAAAGUGCCUGUGUUUAAAACAAUCACCUUUAAUCACCCAUUGGUUAAUCAAGUCACAGUGAUGAAAACUGUUUCAAGACCAUGAAACGGUCAUAUAAAAUGACUUAAAAGCAAAGUGUGUGAGUCUGAGAGCUUAUAUCUGGCUCCUCGUGUGCAUGACUAAUGUGGAAGAGCCAGAGACAGAUCAGGAAUAUAAAGAAUGUAGAAGUUGAAAUGUUUUUGUGGUUACUGAACAUCAAGCAGAUCAUAUGACUAAGUGCCACACACCAACAAACAAAUAAACAAAGACUGAAACCAAAUGUGAUGGAAGAACAGAUUUAAUGUUGGUUUAAUAAAGACUAACUUUCAUUUCAACAAUGUGUCAAAUAUAUUAUAGCCAGGGUGCGAUUUGUGAAAAAAACAGAGGGGGGGAUGCUUUUGAAAAAUUUUAUUAAAUGUUUUUAAUACGACAGAAAUUGUAUUUAGUGUGAUCUCAGUUUAAUAAAAACAUUGUAAGCCUACGUUAGGCCUAUUAAUUGUAAUGAUUUAAUGUCCACGGUUAUUCAAACAACAAAUUACAUCGAGAAAGCGAGCAAAGAACACAACGGAGCUUUUGAAACUCCGAAUCAGUUAAACCAUUGCGUCGCAAAAAAAAAGUUUCGAAGCACUCCAAUCGGAUCACGUAUCGUGAAUCAUUUGAUUCAGAUCGGGACGUCAGAGUGGGUUUGCAUGAUGUUUUUAUCCCCACCGGGGAUAAAAGUUAUUCAGCAGAGGCAGGGAUGCAUAGACCAGAGAGGGGGAAAUCCCCCCCAUCCCCCCCGACAAAUCGCACCCUGAUUAUAGCAGUGCUUCCCAAACCUGUCCUGGAGGACCCCCUGCCCUGCAUGUUUUGUAUGUCUCCCUAAUCUAACACACCUGAUUCCACUCACCAGACUAAAUUGGGUGUGUCUGAUUAGGGAGACAUACAAAACAUGCAGGGCAGGCAGUCCUCCAGGACAGGUUUGGGAACCACUGUAUUAUAGUUUGUAGAAACAUCUAUGCAUAUAAACAAUAACAUGCAAAACCUUUUGCUCUUUGUAUUAUUUCACCUCUUUUGUCGCUUACAUACUAAUCUUGUAUUUUCAUUUUAAAAUUGUGUUCUAGGUAUAUGGUUGGUUCCUACGACAAAUUACUUGUGAUUUUCCUCAUGUGUAAGAUGCUAUAAAAUCAUCUGCUGAAUUGAUGUAUUCACAAUAUGUCAGAUUAAAUCUUUUUAAAUUAAAAAAAGCA
Long non-coding RNA from Cyprinus carpio carpio, 3826 nucleotides. NCBI's taxonomy places the organism in Eukaryota, Metazoa, Chordata, Actinopteri, Cypriniformes, Cyprinidae. The record is from Ensembl.